UUGCGUAACUUGCUGCUUGAUUAGCAAUGUUAGCAAUCUUUCGUCGCGACUGUAGGCGUAAUCUUUACCUCAGUUUCACGGCCCGGACGACACGUCCACCCGGCUCGCCCAAUCAGGAGAGCUGGCGCCGCCGACCCUACCGGGUCGUCACGGCACCCGGGUCCGCACUGCCCAACCAGGCGGGCGAGGAAAGCGGCGACAGAAUUGCCAGCACAGGACAUCUACGAAAAGGGGAGGCCGAGAGGUCUCCCC
RNAcentral lists this small RNA (252 nucleotides) under Pseudomonas sp. URMO17WK12:I2. Its description in RNAcentral is "Pseudomonas sRNA P24". It matches the Rfam family "Pseudomonas sRNA P24". From Rfam's summary of the family: P24 is conserved across several Pseudomonas species and in Azotobacter vinelandii. It appears to be consistently located between a hypothetical protein gene and a transcriptional regulator gene (AsnC family) in the genomes of all these species. The record is from RNAcentral. Lineage: Bacteria; Pseudomonadati; Pseudomonadota; Gammaproteobacteria; Pseudomonadales; Pseudomonadaceae.